CCUACGGGAGGCAGCAGUGGGGAAUAUUGGGCAAUGGAGGCAACUCUGACCCAGCAACGCCGCGUGAAUGAUGAAGGUCUUCGGAUUGUAAAGUUCUGUGAUGGGGGAUGAACACAAUGACGGUACCCCAAUAGCAAGCCACGGCUAACUACGUGCCAGCAGCCGCGGUACUACGUAGGUGGCAAGCGUUAUCCGGAAUGACUGGGCGUAAAGGGUGCGUAGGUGGUUUUGUAAGUUGGCGGUGUAAUGCCGGGGCGCAACCUCGGCGCUACCGCCAAAACUAUUAGACUAGAGUGCAGGAGGGGGAAGUGGAAGUCCGAGUGUAGCGGUGGAAUGCGUAGAUAUUAGGAGGAACAUCAGGGGCGAAGGCGACUUACUGGACUGUAACUGACGCUGAGGCACGAAAGCGUGGGGAGCGAACAGGAGUAGAUACCCCGGUAGUC
Molecule: ribosomal RNA, 443 nt
Filed under: uncultured bacterium
Lineage: Bacteria
Description: partial 16S ribosomal RNA
Rfam family: Bacterial small subunit ribosomal RNA
Source: RNAcentral